AUAGUCGGAUUCAUAUCAAUCCAUGUGUGUUGAGGUGGAUUGGAGUGAAACUUGAACUAAAUUCUAUCCUAAUUCACACCAAUACACAUAGAUUGAAGUGAAUCUGACA
This is a microRNA precursor of Sorghum bicolor (sorghum), 109 nucleotides long. It matches the Rfam family "MIR5565 microRNA precursor family". The record is from Rfam. NCBI's taxonomy places the organism in Eukaryota, Viridiplantae, Streptophyta, Magnoliopsida, Poales, Poaceae.